GUGGCUGGGGCUCAGCGGCAGAGCACUUGCCUAGCAUGCAUGAGGCACUGGGUUCAAUCCUUAGCACCACCUACA
Molecule: transfer RNA, 75 nt
Filed under: Marmota monax (woodchuck)
Lineage: Eukaryota; Metazoa; Chordata; Mammalia; Rodentia; Sciuridae
Description: tRNA.Ala
Rfam family: tRNA
About the family: Transfer RNA (tRNA) molecules are approximately 80 nucleotides in length. Their secondary structure includes four short double-helical elements and three loops (D, anti-codon, and T loops).
Source: RNAcentral